This 28-nucleotide non-coding RNA is filed under the name Rattus norvegicus (Norway rat). Lineage: Eukaryota; Metazoa; Chordata; Mammalia; Rodentia; Muridae. The record is from RNAcentral.
UGCAUUCAGAUCCAAAUGAAUAAAGGUG